AUUCUGCCUGGAUUCAGUAGAGUAUUGGUACAGAAUGAUUUUCUUUAAGAUGUAAUCUAAAUUCUUAUUAUUUUUCAACAAUUCAAACAUAUUCAAAACCUUUUCAAUUCUCAUUUAAACCAAGGAUUAUGAAAAACAGCACUUAUUAUUCAUUAAAAUGCAAAAGCCCCCACUGCUUCUUCGAAGACCCUUACCUCCAAAAUUCACUAAGCUGUCUUUACAUGAGAAAAAAACCCAUACAGCUAAAACUGGUAAAAUUGAGUCACUACAUGUAGCAUUCACUGAAGAUGAAACCACUUCCAUUAAAAUGGAUAGAACUCGUUUUCCUGAUGUUUUAAGAAAUCAAUCACUAACACCUAUCAAUAUCCAAAAUAUCUUUCUUGAUCACUGUGUACAAGAAAGAGUGACUGCAAUUUCAUCACCCCAGAAAUCUACUAAGCAUGUCCGUGAGCAGAUUCCAGAUACUGCUACUGGUUCCAUAUUUUUUCCACAUUGUAAUUCAGCUUCUACUCGAAUUUUUGGGAAACAAACAAACAAAAUGGAAAGUUCAAGAAAGUUUAAAACUAUGAAAGAUGUUUAUACUGAAAAAAGGCUAGAAAACAUUUUAAUUCUUUCUUCCAAGUUUUCCAAACCUAAAAGUACUCCUGGCUCAGUUAUCGCUCAAAAACUUGAGAAAAUGCACCCUAAGCAUCAACCUUUACCAGAGAGUCCAGGCUAUACUUAUCAGCACAUCUCGAGAGACUUAAGUGCAACAGUGCCAAGCCCUCCACCUAUGACUGUAUCUAUGAAACCAGAAGGACAGUGGCCUGAACAUUUUAAAUCAACUGCUACAUUGACACUAAGAGUUACUGAAUUUCCAGGUUUUGUUUCCUUGCCAACACCAGUUUUACCAAGAAAACCUCACAGGCAGUCUGUGAUAGAAACUCUUGUAACAGAAAAUGGAAAUAUAGAAAGUGUCCCAAAGCAAAUCCCACCAAGACCACCUGAAGGUCUCACCAAAACUGAAAAAAUAGAAUCAGAGAUACACGUUGUACGUGGUGAAGGUUUUAAGACUGUUGCAGCAACACGAUAUGAAACAAUAACAGCCAUGACCAACCUGGCCAUAGUAAACUGUCAAGUAUAUGGGAGAAAUGCACUUAAUCUGAAGGGCUUUUUUAUCCUAAAUUGUCCAGACUUAACACCUUUGGCUUUCCAGUUGAUAUAUCUUAAUUUAUCAUUUAAUGAUCUUCAUUACUUUCCCACAGAAAUACCUCCUUCCUCCCUCAUUAUUCCGUGAUUUCCUCGUAUGAAACCGUGAGCUUGAUCAGAAAGGGUAACUUUCACACUUAGGAAAGCACCAUUCUUGAGUCAAGGGUGUAUGAGUACAGUGGUUGCACUAUUUCACCAUAUCAUACCUAUUAAUGCUGGUCACUUGUUUUGAAGGUUGACCGAGGGUGUUUACUGAGUUACAUGAUAUAGCCAAUUAAUGUUGCUAUAAUGAUUCUACAUUAGUUCAGAGAGUUUAUAAAAGGUAACAAAUAAUGAUUUGCAUACUUUAUUAUUCCGCUCAUGUUUGUUUCUCUUUUCUGUUCCCCAGAUAUUAUGUCUUAAAAAUUUACAAAUACUGAAAUUGAGAAAUAAUCCUAUCAAAGAAAUUCCUUCUGAAAUUCAACAACUUGAGUUCCUUAGAAUUUUCACCAUUGCUUUUAAUUUAAUUACUGUUCUUCCAAUUGGGUAAGGUUGAUGGUCUGAGAUUAUAAACACAGAAAAUAAUUCAUAAUUUCGAAAAAGAUCAAUUUCCCCUUUCAAAGCAGCUAGCAGCUUUUUGGCUAUUUAGUAAUUUGUAUUCUAUUCUAAUUAGCUAAUACGCUUCUUCUUAUGGUGUUAAAAACAAUCCUACCAGCUACAUACAGAGCAAUUAAUAUGGGUCUAGUGACUAUACAUUUAGAAACACGUUAUCUGAGUACGGGUUAAAUUAACAGGAAUUAUCUAAAGCAGUUCAGGUGAGAGCCUUGCACCUAUCUCUUGACAGCCUUUUUGGAUAUGGAAAGAGCACUGAAUUUGGGAUGAGGAAAUCUAGUCCUUUGACUUUAAAGUUGAUGAUAAUUAUAUAUUUGAUCUGGAGAAAGUAAUUUAACCAUUCUUGGCCUCAAUUUCCUAAUCUGUAAACUAAGGAGAUUGGCUUAUAUGAUAUCUAAGACCCUUUCAACUCCAUAAGAAUGCUGAUAUUUGGACAUAAAAGAGAUGGGUUUCUUCCCACGUAUGGACUAGUAAUUAUUUAACUCCUAAUGAAAAUUUUAAACCAAAACCUUAACCAAAUGUCAAAACAAGAUACUUAUUCCAAUCAGAGUUUAACAAAUUGAAUCUCUCAGUACAAAGAGAAAGGGACUCAUAAAUAGUUGAAUAAUACUUUGCAAAAUAAGAGUCUUAUCUAUAGUAAUUAAGGAAGUGCAUCCAAAUUCAUUUAUAAAGAUGUUCAUUCAGUAUUGUUUGUAAUUAAUGAUCUAAAAAAUUGUACAUUCAUAAACAUUCAGUUAUUUAAAAGAAUAAGAAAUUAUAUUAAAAAAUUAUACCAUUUCUGUAUAAAAUGCAUAUACAUAUCACACAUUACACACUACAUAUAUAAAAAGAAAGAAUAAACACUAAAGAAGUAAGAAUGUUACAUAUGGGUAUUUUAUUUCUGUUUGACUCAUCCGGAUUUUUCCACAGUACAUAAACUGUAUUUUCCCUGCCCUGACACUAUCUGCCAUUUCUCUAAGGAAAUCCUGUUUCCUUUUAUUAGAAAAUAGUGUUUAAAAGCCAAGAUCUGGGUGUUGGGUAUCCUCAUCACCAUUAGGUUAUCAUUCCUUCUAGACCCUCUCAUUGGAGAGAGCAAAGUAAUAUAUGUAUGUAUACUAACCCAUGUGUACACACAUAUCUGUAAUUGUUUAUAUAGAUACAAACACAUAUACAAUUACAUAUAUACACACACAGAACUAUAUAUGUAUAAAUAUAUAUGUAUAUAUACAGCAUCUAAACAUGAAUUCCUACUGGAUAAUCUAUAAUCAUAAUUAUACAUUUUCAAUAAUCAUAACUACCAUUUAAACAAAAUAAAAAUUCCUAAAGCAAGUGAAAUGUGAUUAUAACUAAAAGGUCAACAUUUUGUUCAUUGUUUAGAUAUUGGACAAAUAAGUAUGAAUUGUUGAUUAUAAUCAAAAAGUUUGCAGAAGCUAUUUUUAAAAACUAUUAGUGUUUCUGAAAUAAAGCGGCAUAUUUUUAUUAAAUAACAUAGGAUAUGUAUGCAUAUCAGGGGAAGAAUGACAGCAUAUUAAAGCCAAGAAUGAAAAACAUAAUGGGGAAAACUUAACUUUAUUGACCUCAAAGAAGACUUCAAGCAAGCUCUGACAUAAUAAAAAUGUUUAUUUGCAAAGUUUGUUCAAUGAAAACUCACCAGGAGGGCACUUAUACAGUGAAGAAUGAAGGUGCUGAAUUCUUCAUAUCUAAGGGUUGUUGUCAGAAAUCUACCUUGCUGAGCAAAGAAGACCUCACGGAGUGUGGUGAGACUUGGAGAUCAGUAACUGAAUUAAAUUGAGUGAAAUUUAGUGAACCAAACCAUUAUGUAAUAUAUUUGAGAUAUUCUGGCUCCAUGUAAAUUCUGGAGUUUGGACAUUAUUACCAUCACAAGCAAUUGCACUGAUACACUUUGAAUGUUAUACUUUCAUUCUUGUAAUUAAUUCAGCAGAUGUUCAUGAAGCAUCUAUUAAUACUGUGUGCUCCUAGGAGCUCACCACCUAAAAGGAAGGCAGACAAUUCAAUACAAUUGAGUAAAGUAAAAUAAUGGAGAUGUACACAGUAAAAUGUAUGAGUUACAUGUAACCCAUUCUGAAGGGUGAGAGUUGGUUCCCUGGAAGAUGUAGUAUUUGAUCCAAAGUUGACUGAGUGUGAAUUAGGUGGAUUAAACAGGAGAGACAACAAAGGAUAGUUGGGCCAAUGAUAGGGUGGAUAUUUCUUCAAUGAAAAGUUACAACGUAUAUGAAAAGAAGCAGCAUAUAUAACAUGAGAUGGGAAAUACAAGCAGUUUGCUGGUUUUGAAGCUUAGAGGGCAAUGCCAAGUGGUAAGAAAUGGUACAGUAAGCAGGGACCAGAUUAUCUAGGAAGCCUUAUGAGCUAAGGUAAAGAAUUUAUGCUGUAUGCAACAAGAAACCAUUACAGGUUUUCCAUAUGUGAGUGGUAGAGUCAAACUUAUAUUUUACGUUAUUCUAGUGGCAGUGUGGAGGAUGGAUGUGAGGGGAUAAACAGAAUUAAAGGUGACCAGUUGGAAGGCCAUUGCAGUAGUUCAAGCAAGAGAUGAAGAGAACUUGGACCAAGGCAAUGGUAGUGAGCAUGGAGAAGGAGGAACAAAUUGUUAUGAAAUUGAAGUAAAACCUGCAAGAUCUAGAACUGAGACAUAGAGGCUAUAAGGAACAGAAAAGUCAAAGUAAAAAAAAAAAGUCAAGGUAAUGCCCAGAUCUCUAGUUAGAGUGAAACAAUUCAAUCAUGUAAAAUGUAUUUAUUGAGUAUUUACUAAAUACUGGGCUCUGUCCUAAGCAUUGGGUUCAGAUUGUUAAAGGAAAAGGGGCAUGAUCUUUUCCCUUAUGGGGCUUAGAAUCCAGAGCACGAUACAGGAAUUUUAAUAAACACCAUAAUAAAUAUAUGAAUAUAUAAAUAUAAAACAUUCUAAGGGCUUUGACUGAAAAGAACAAUAUGAUGUCAGGAGAAAAAAAAAUUGAAUCACUAAGAAAGGUGUAUCUGAGGAAAUGACAUUUAAGCAGAAGUUUAUAAAUCCAGUCCAAGAAUAAGAAAAAGAAUAUUCAUGCAGUGGGAAUAACAUGGGAGGUAAUGAGAGCUUGGACUCCUCAAAGGCUGACAGGAAGCCAGCAUGGCUUAGAAUAAAACCCAGGUGAGGUUUAGGAGUUGGAUAGGGACUACAUCCCAUGAAGCUGUGAGGGUCAGGUGAAAAUAUUUAUAAUUUAUUUAAAGUGCACUGAGAAGCCAUUGCUUGUUUUUAAGCACAAGAGUGACAAUGAAGGCUGAGGAGGUUUGAAUGAAGGAAAAUAAUUGGUUUUGUUUUAGAUUAACAUGUUGAUUUUAGAUUUCUGUUUUUCAUCACAAUUCUGGACCUAGACCUAUUAACCUCACAGGAGAGUUUUGUGCUGGAGAUAUUUCUGGAGAAACAUCUGUGUUUCAAAUACAGACAGAUAAAGAAAUUAUAAAGACUGAGGAAAAGCCUCAAAUUGCAUAAAGAGAACCAAGAGUAUCAUGGAAGCCAGGGAAGUGGAUUAUUUUGAAAAAGAAGUAUGACCAACAGUGUCAAAUACAACAGAGAAGCUCAGUAAGAGUAAAGGAUGUUGGAAAGAAACCAAUAGGGAAUAGAUUGAAGAUGUGGAAGGAUGACAGAUGAAGCAGAAUUUCACAGGAGAUGGGAGGGGAAGAAGUCAUCAGCUCAGGUGGAGAUUCUGGUCUUGAACAGGAGGAGUAACCAUUAUCUCCUAAAACUGGAGAUGGAGGAAGGGAGCCAUGAGUCAAGGAAUGAGGCAGCUUGAAAACCUGGGAAUGGCCUUCAGCAUACAGCCAACAAGAAAACAAGGGCCUCAGUUCUACAGCCGGAAAGAACUGAAUUCUGCCAACAGCCUGCAUGAGUAAGAAAACAGAUUCUCCCUAGAGCCUCCAGAUAGCAAUGCAGUCCUGCUGAUGCCUUAAUUUUAGUAGAGUGAGACCUUUGCAGACUUCUGACCUAUAUAACUAUAAUUAAUAAAUCUGAGUUGUUGUACGCCA
Molecule: RNA transcript, 5772 nt
Organism: Homo sapiens (human)
Lineage: Eukaryota; Metazoa; Chordata; Mammalia; Primates; Hominidae
Gene: LRRC63
Gene name: leucine rich repeat containing 63
Exons: 8
Source: RefSeq, marked validated